GUGGGGAAUAUUGGACAAUGGGCGCAAGCCUGAUCCAGCCAUGCCGCGUGAGUGAUGAAGGCCUUAGGGUUGUAAAGCUCUUUCAGUGGGGACGAUAAUGACGGUACCCACAGAAGAAGCCCCGGCUAACUUCGUGCCAGCAGCCGCGGUAAUACGAAGGGGGCUAGCGUUGUUCGGAUUUACUGGGCGUAAAGCGCACGUAGGCGGAUUGGUCAGUUAGAGGUGAAAUCCUGGAGCUCAACUCCAGAACUGCCUUCGAUACUGGCGAUCUUGAGUCCGGAAGAGGUGAGUGGAACUCCUAGUGUAGAGGUGGAAUUCGUAGAUAUUAGGAAGAACACCAGUGGCGAAGGCGGCUCACUGGUCCGGUACUGACGCUGAGGUGCGAAAGCGUGGGGAGCAAACAGGAUUAGAAACCCCAGUAGUCC
RNAcentral lists this ribosomal RNA (425 nucleotides) under uncultured bacterium. Its description in RNAcentral is "partial 16S ribosomal RNA". It matches the Rfam family "Bacterial small subunit ribosomal RNA", at positions 354 to 796 of the family's 1533-position model. The record is from RNAcentral.